UUGAUUUGUUUAAAAACCAAGCGACUUUCAAAGAGUAGGACUCUUAUUUUUAGCACAAGACGUCUUAAUAUUUAACUCAACAUGUUUUGUUAUGUAGCUCCGUUUUGUGGGUGUGAAUAUUUGUAGUAAAACUUUUGAAUCCAUAACCUGGGAGAAAACGUGAGAUUUUUACUAGUUUCCACAGAUAAAAUCAUUCUUUCUUAAAGGAAAAAAAUGUUAUUGUAUUGGACCCAGAACUUCACCUAAAGCCGUCAUUCUAUUGUGUCUUUAUCAAAGAAGUUACGGCUCCUGACUAGUAGUGUGUAUGGUUAACAGAUGGGCUUUGCUGCAUCUGAAGUAAAGGUUAAGUCUGUGGAUGAAACAUGGAAGUCAAGAUUUUUCGAUGGAAACUAUCUCCUCCAUGACUUCUUCUCAUAUAUCAUCAGACAAUGAGUUUCUGCGUCUGCCCUCAAGAUCUUCUGCGACAGGUCCACCUUUUCAGUGCACUUGUGGUAAAUCCUAUCAACAAUACCCAUCCCUCUGGCGGCACCGGCGCUAUGAAUGUGGAAAAGUGCCUCUCUUUCAUUGUCCAUUUUGUGACUACCGUAGCAAGCAGAAAGCAUACAUGAAGAAACAUGUUGAAAGAAGGCAUGUUUAUGAGGAGAAAUCCAUUAUGAAGACAAACUAUAAUAAUCAGUCAUCAAUUUUGUGAAGAUCAAUAUGUGGAAAGGUGGUUAUCAUCUCACCAGGACUGUGGAGGAAGUGAAUCCAAGUACCCAACCCAAGCACAUCAAUGUGAUACAUGCAGUCGUGUUUAUUCUCAU
Molecule: long non-coding RNA, 803 nt
Organism: Frankliniella occidentalis (western flower thrips)
Lineage: Eukaryota; Metazoa; Arthropoda; Insecta; Thysanoptera; Thripidae
Exons: 3
Source: RefSeq, a predicted model, not a curated record